Molecule: non-coding RNA, 3130 nt
Organism: Camellia sinensis
Lineage: Eukaryota; Viridiplantae; Streptophyta; Magnoliopsida; Ericales; Theaceae
Source: RefSeq, a predicted model, not a curated record
CUUGAGAUCUCUCUCUCUCUCUCUCUCUCUCUCUCUCUGUGUGUUUGGUUGCGAAGAACAAACACAAAGAAUGCCAGAAAGCGAAACCACUUCACAGAAAUUGUGAACGAAAGGAAAUGAAAAUCAGAUCUCUGGCGGAGGAGCGGUGGUGGAUCCACAUCGGAUAUGUUGAUGUUGAAGGACCAGGACAUCUCUUCCAUUGAGAAAGGUCUCACCUGCAUCAUCACUUUGAGAUGAAAGAUCUUGGCUCACUUAUUUUCUUGUUAUUGUGGUGGCUUCUUCUCCUAAAGGGUAUCUUCUAUCUCAGUCCAAAUAUGCAGUUGAUGUUAUUCAGAGGGCCAAUAUGACAGAUUCCUGAAUUGUUGAUACUCUAUAUGAACUUAAUGUGCACACUAUACCUCUACUGAUGGUGUUCCUUUAUCUGAUCCUACUUUGUAUUCUGUUCUGGUGGGCAGUCUUGUUUAUCUGACAAUUACUCGCCCCAACAUCGCCUAUGCAGUACAUGACGUCAGUCAGUUUGUUUCCAACUUGACUACUGUUCACCGGGCUUAUGUUCUUUUGUAUUUUGCUCUAUUUUCAGGGUUCCUUGCAUCAAAGUCUAUUGUUAUUUGCUACUUCUUUGGAUCUUCAUGCCUUUUCUAAUGCUAAUUGGGUUCGUGAUGCUAUGGAUCAUAAGUCAACUACUGGUCUUUGUGUUUUUCUAGGUGAUCAGAUUUGAUUAUAUGAGCUCACCUCGGGUGGUGCUGCACAGAGCAUGUAGAAACAGUGGUAGUUCCUUUCUGGGUCUGAGAUUUGGCAAACUCUUGAUCUUUCAAGAAGAUAUGUCCGAACUGCAGCUCCAGAGAUCUUCCCAUACUUAUCGAAUUGGAUCUCUACAAAUUUACCAAAACGACUGGCGUCUGCAACUGCAAAAAGAUGUGGAUUUAGCUCACCGAAAGCAGCUCCUUUAUACUGUUCCAUCAUAUGGAUGUCGUACAAGUGCGGCAGUCUCCGGAAAGGAUUCACCGCUAUUAGAAUAUUCCCGGUUGUUCGCUAGGCUACAAAUGACUCACAUAUAUCUCAUUGAGAGCAAACCGAGAGGCAAGGUUGUAAAGGACUCCUGGCUCAUGGAGGUAUGCCAACUUGGUCAUGUCAUCAACCCCUGCUGGUGGUGCUUCUGAGUCUUUUGGGUAUAUGCUUGAGAUAUCUGCAACUAUCUGCAAAUGGUAAAGAGAGUCUAGCUUAGUUUAGAUACUACCUUUUCUGCAUGUUCAUUAGAGUUUAUUAUUGUUUGAUAUUUAUGAAUCCUUUCACAUUGGAGAUAUUCUUUCUUCUUCAGAAAAGAACAGGGUAACUAACAUAGGGCACAUAGGCACUCAAAUCCAUGUUAUAAUUUUGAUUAUCACACCUAAAUUUAAAAGGAAAGGAUCUCCUUUGUCUCACUGGCUAAAACAAGGCUGCUACCAUCAUCGGCUAUAGUUCUAAUGUUUUUGGGUUUUGUUUUUGCAAGAAAUUUGAAAAACUGUUAAUGAAAACAAGUUUGAUAACUGGUUUCAAUUCCAAAAAAUGUAAACAGUUCUCAAAAUUUACAUCACUUUAAGAUUUUUUUUUAUUUUUAUUUUUGUGUGCGUGUGUGUUUUCACCUAUUUUGAAGACAAGUUUUAUUCCCUCCUCCCUCUGGCCACCACCUCUGGUAACCCCCCUCUGCCCCACCACAUCCAGCCACCUCCUCCCGCCAGCCACCCCAACCUUCUGGCCACCACCUCUGGCAACCUCCCACCCUUCAGGCCUCCCCUGUGAGAACUCAUCAAACUUGUUUUCUUGUUUUUAUUUUUGUAUGUUUUGGAAACAAACGUGUACCAAACAUGUUUUUGUUUUUGUUUUCAACAAAAAUAAACAUAAAUAUGUUACCUAUUUUCAUUAAACAAAAGCAAAAAAUUGUGAAUGUUGCCAAGCACUCUGUGAUUCUGUCCAACCAGUUUGCAGAGGAAGGGAGGCAAGAACCCAUUAGUGUCAUUGAAUUUUCUUCCAUAUACUGGCAGUUGCAACUUAUUGGUGCUUUUCAGUUUUAUGUUACAAUUGGUGUUUUCUGUAAAACAUGUACGUCUUGUCUUAAUAAUAAACCCAAUAUAUAAUCACCAAUGACAGUUUACUGGAACAUAUAGCCUCUGAUGUUGACUGAUGAAAAUGUUAGAAAAAGCCUUCAGUAGAGCUAAUAAAUAUCUCUUAUAUUGGUAAAUAUUUUUUAUCCACUUUCCACCUUUUCAGGCUGUUAUAUGUUUAUGUUAUACACACUGCCUAAAACAACAAAGAUUUAUCUGUGGUUUCAAAUAUAUGCUGUACUGAUUCCUGUAAUAUUAACAGAUCUAACGGUCCUAGUUGUUUGAUCAUGUACAUAUAUAGCUGCUCUCCAAUAUAAUGGGAGGCAAGAUUAGCUUACAGUUUUCCCAUUUGUGGUAACUAUGGUGGCAUCGCUGCCUUUGAUUUCUAUCACUUCUCCGUCGAUCCACGCAACUUCAGGAUCCUCAGCCCACACUUGUGAUCCAACUAUGAUGUUUACAGGAGUUCCCUGGAUCAUUCAAGAAUCACAAAAGGAUCAUCAAAUUCACAGCUGAGAUGCAGAGAAGAAGCCAAUGUGUUUUGGUUGUCCUCUGAGAGAGAGAGAGAGAGAGAGAGAGAGAGAGAAUGGUAUUGCUGUUGAGGAAUGAAAAGUAGAGAGAAUGUUGAAAAGGAAUGUUUUUCAAAGCAAAUGGAAAAGCAGAGAAAAUGAAGAUGGUGGUGGUGGUGGUGACUCUCAAAAGCAAAAGGCAGAGCAGCCACCCCUCAUCACCUCCCUCCCACUCUCCCCCACAUGCUGUCAACUUUUUUUUAUUUUUGCUCAUUCCACAUAGGCUGCUGACUUGGCUCCACAACCAGCCUCAAGAUGUAAAAUUGUGUAUCAUUCUUUGAGUCGGCAAGUCUUGUGUGUCCAUUAUAUGUUAUUUUUUAUUUUUAUUUUUAUUUUUAUUUAUUGUUUGUUAUUUGCACCCAAGCAGAGCUGAUCUUAGAUUUAGUAGGUGUGGGGGAGUGGCUAUAAAACAAUGUGUCCUCCUUUGCAUAGUUGUUGCCUUUACUCUCUUAAAUCAAUUGGGCUAAUGAUGGCUUGUUGUUA